This 1349-nucleotide ribosomal RNA is filed under the name uncultured bacterium. RNAcentral describes it as "bacterial SSU rRNA". It matches the Rfam family "Bacterial small subunit ribosomal RNA", at positions 28 to 1380 of the family's 1533-position model. The record is from RNAcentral.
GACGAACGCUGGCGGCGCGCUUAACACAUGCAAGUCGAGCGAUGAAAUCUUAACAGAACCCUUCGGGGCGAAGAUAAGACGGAUUAGCGGCGGACGGGUGAGUAACACGUGAGUAACCUGCCUUUUACACAGGGAUAGCCUCGGGAAACCGGGAUUAAAACCUGAUGAAACUAUCAAAUCACAUGAUUAAGAAAGUUAAAACUCCGGUGGUAAAAGAUGGACUUGCGUCUGAUUAGCUAGUUGGUGAGAUAAAAGCCCACCAAGGCGACGAUCAGUAGCCGGCUUGAGAGAGUGUACGGCCACAUUGGGACUGAGACACGGCCCAGAGUCCUACGGGAGGCAGCAGUGGGGAAUUCUGCACAAUGGGGGAAACCCUGAUGCAGCGACGCCGCGUGAUUUAGAAGGCCUUCGGGUUGUAAAAAUCUUUUUUAUGGGAUGAAAAUGACAGUACCAUAAGAAUAAGGUCCGGCUAAAUACGUGCCAGCAGCCGCGGUAAUACGUAUGGACCGAGCGUUGUCCGGAAUCAUUGGGCGUAAAGGGUACGUAGGCGGCCUAGUAAGUUAGAAGUGAAAUAAUAUAGCUCAACUAUAUAAAGCUUUUAAAACUGCAAGGCUUGAGAGAUGGAAGGGAAAGUGGAAUUCCUAGUGUAGCGGUGAAAUGCGCAGAUAUUAGGAAGAAUACCAGUGGCGAAGGCGACUUUCUGGUCAUCCUCUGACGCUGAGGUACGAAAGCGUGGGUAGCAAACAGGAUUAGAUACCCUGGUAGUCCACGCUGUAAACGAUGAGUGUUAGGUUCUUGGAAUAAUCUGGGAGCCGCAGCUAACGCAUUAAACACUCCGCCUGGGGAGUACGCACGCAAGUGUGAAACUCAAAGGAAUUGACGGGGACCCGCACAAGCAGCGGAGCAUGUGGUUUAAUUCGACGCAACGCGAAGAACCUUACCAAGUCUUGACAUAAUACGGAGGGAGUUAGAGAUAAUUCCUUAUCACUUCGGUGAGCUGUAUUACAGGUGGUGCAUAGUUGUCGUCAGCUCGUGUCGUGAGAUGUUGGGUUAAGUCCCAUAACGAGCGCAACCCCUAUCGUUAGUUACCAUCAUUAAGUUGGGGACUCUAGCGAUACUGCCGGUGAUAAACCGGAGGAAGGUGGGGACGACGUCAAAUCAUCAUGCCCUUUAUGACUUGGGCUACACACGUGCUACAAUGGCAGGUACACAGGGCAGCGAAAGAGCGAUCUGGAGCGAAACUCACAAAGCCUGUCCCAGUUCGGAUUGUACUCUGCAACUCGAGUGCAUGAAGUUGGAGUUGCUAGUAAUCGCGAAUCAGAAUGUCGCGGUGAAUGCGUUCCCGGGUC